This 51-nucleotide transfer RNA is filed under the name Macrhybopsis aestivalis (speckled chub). RNAcentral describes it as "tRNA-Val". Lineage: Eukaryota; Metazoa; Chordata; Actinopteri; Cypriniformes; Leuciscidae. The record is from RNAcentral.
UCAGGGCGUGGCGAGAAGAUAAGCACCUCACUUACACCGAGAUAACAUCCA